CCAAUAGCGUAUAUUAAAGUUGUUGCAGUUAAAAAGCUCGUAGUUGAAUUUCGGGGUCAGUAGGCUGGUCGUGCCACCGGUACGUACUGGUCUUACUGAUUCCUCCUUCCUGAUGAACCGUAAUGCCAUUAAUUUGGUGUUGCGGGGAGUCUGGACUGUUACUUUGAAAAAAUUAGAGUGUUUAAAGCAGGCUAACGCUUGAAUACAUUAGCCUGGACUAAUGAAAUAGGACGAUCGAUCCUAUUUUGUUGUUUUCUAGGAUUGACGUAAUGAUUAAUAGGGAUAGUUGGGGGCAUUAGUAUUCAAUUGUCAGAGGUGAAAUUCUUGGAUUUAUUGAAGACUAACUACUGCGAAAGCAUUUGCCAAGGAUGUUUUCAUUAAUCAAGAACGAAAGUUAGGGGAUCGAAGACGAUCAGAUACCGUCGUAGUCUUAACCAUAAACUAUGCCGACUAGGGAUCGGAUGAUGUUAAUUUUUUAAUGACUCAUUCGGCGCCUUACG
RNAcentral lists this ribosomal RNA (500 nucleotides) under uncultured Glomeromycotina. RNAcentral describes it as "partial small subunit ribosomal RNA". It matches the Rfam family "Eukaryotic small subunit ribosomal RNA", at positions 591 to 1092 of the family's 1831-position model. The record is from RNAcentral. Lineage: Eukaryota; Fungi; Glomeromycota.